Molecule: transfer RNA, 86 nt
Filed under: Aeromicrobium sp. Root236
Lineage: Bacteria; Bacillati; Actinomycetota; Actinomycetes; Propionibacteriales; Nocardioidaceae
Description: tRNA-Leu
Rfam family: tRNA
About the family: Transfer RNA (tRNA) molecules are approximately 80 nucleotides in length.
Source: RNAcentral
GCGCGGGUGGCGGAAUGGUAGACGCGCUGGCUUCAGGUGCCAGUGUCCGCAAGGGCGUGGGGGUUCAAAUCCCCCCUCGCGCACAA